Molecule: long non-coding RNA, 546 nt
Organism: Chiroxiphia lanceolata (lance-tailed manakin)
Lineage: Eukaryota; Metazoa; Chordata; Aves; Passeriformes; Pipridae
Exons: 3
Source: RefSeq, a predicted model, not a curated record
GACCGGCGCUCCCCGAUGGGAGAUGUAGUUCGGCCCCGGCGGGGCUGCUCCGGGGGGGAUGGAGCCGCUGGGGAUGCCCGGGGGACGCGUGAGGAUGCGGUUUCAGAUCUCUGGAAUUGAAAGCCAGUGAUAUGUUUUCUGCAAAGCCUCACACCUAAUUUUGGCCUAUGGGGGGUUAAUGCAGUAGCUGAGUGAUGACUGUGCUGGCUGGACAGCCUCCCUUCUGCCCUCGCUGCUUCCCCAGGGCUGAAAAAAGCUGCUUCAGCAACAGAGACAUCCGAAAGAUCCUGCUUCCAAACCUGCGCACUCCAAAACCUACUGAUGGACAGGGCUGAUGUGUGAGAGCUCUUCCUGGUGACUGCCAGCCCUGAGAGCCCAAAGCCACUGCAGGAUGCAGCUCCAGGGGACAAGAAGUCAGCAAGCAGUGGCUGUGAGCUGACAAAUGCUUCCUAAUCAGGAAGCAAUUCCCCCCUGUGCCGCCUCUCUGCAGCAGCAGUUGGGUAGGGGUAGAAACCCUGAAGUUUUCUCCUCCUGCAGCAUUUAUGU